This is a non-coding RNA of Desmophyllum pertusum, 83 nucleotides long. NCBI's taxonomy places the organism in Eukaryota, Metazoa, Cnidaria, Anthozoa, Scleractinia, Caryophylliidae. The record is from the annotation of a GenBank genome assembly.
GGUAGCGUGGCCGAGUGGUCUAAGGCGCUGGUUUAAAGGCACCAGUCUCUUCGGAGGCGUGGGUUCGAAUCCCACCGCUGCCA